CCUACGGGUGGCAGCAGUGAGGAAUAUUGGUCAAUGGGCGUAAGCCUGACCCAGCCACGUCGCGUGAGGGAUGACGGUUCUCUGGAUUGUAAACCUCUUUUAUAAGGGGAUCAAGUGCGGCACGUUUCCCGUUUUGUCUGUACCUUAUGAAUACGGAUCGGCUAACUCCGUGCCAGCCGCCUCGGUAAUACGGAGGGUCCGAGCGUUAUCCGGAUUUAUUGGGUUUAAGGGGUUCGUAGGCGGCUUUUUAGUUUGCGGGGAAAGUUUGUGGCUCAACCAUCGAAUGGCCGUUGAAAAUGGGAGGCUUGAGUAUGUGUGAGGCAUGCGGAAUGCGUGGUGUAGCGGUGAAAUGCAUAGAUAUCACGCAGAACCCCGAUUGCGAAGGCAGCCUGCCAAGCCAUGACUGACGCUGAUGCACGAAAGCGUGGGGAUCAAACAGGAUUAGAUACCCGUGUAGUC
This 459-nucleotide ribosomal RNA is filed under the name uncultured bacterium. RNAcentral describes it as "partial 16S ribosomal RNA". It matches the Rfam family "Bacterial small subunit ribosomal RNA", at positions 338 to 795 of the family's 1533-position model. The record is from RNAcentral.